This 859-nucleotide ribosomal RNA is filed under the name uncultured fungus. Its description in RNAcentral is "eukaryotic LSU rRNA". The stretch from base 1 to 241 matches the Rfam family "Eukaryotic small subunit ribosomal RNA", at positions 1593 to 1831 of the family's 1831-position model. The record is from RNAcentral. Lineage: Eukaryota; Fungi.
UUGCUCUUCAACGAGGAAUGCCUAGUAAGCGCGUGUCAUCAGCACGCGUUGAUUACGUCCCUGCCCUUUGUACACACCGCCCGUCGCUACUACCGAUUGAAUGGCUCAGUGAGGCCUUCGGACUGGCUCGAGGAGGUUGGCAACGACCACCUCAAGCCGGAAAGUUGGUCAAACUCGGUCAUUUAGAGGAAGUAAAAGUCGUAACAAGGUUUCCGUAGGUGAACCUGCGGAAGGAUCAUUAUCGAACAAACAAGCCUAUGAUGCCGGGUCUCAUACCCCGGAUGUUCAGGGCUUUAACGGGUGUGUUAGCGGCCACCAGAGUAACCCUCUGGGCGGUUUAGGGUUCAACCGAACCCUUUCACGCGCACACUACCGAUAUCCUUAUUCUACUCGUACCUCUCGUUCUCCUUCGGUGGGGCAACCUGCCGUUGGAAAUACAAAACUCUUUUUUGCAUCUAGCAUUACCUGUUCUGAUACAAAUAAUCGUUACAACUUUCAACAAUGGAUCUCUUGGCUCUGGCAUCGAUGAAGAACGCAGCGAAAUGCGAUAAGUAGUGUGAAUUGCAGAAUUCAGUGAAUCGUCGAAUCUUUGAACGCACAUUGCGCCCCUUGGUAUUCCAUGGGGCAUGCCUGUUCGAGCGUCAUCUACACCCUCAAGCUCUGCUUGGUGUUGGGCGUCUGUCCCGCCUUUGCGCGUGGACUCGCCCCAAAUCCAUUGGCAGCGGUCUCCGCCUCCUCUCGCGCAGUACAAUGCGUUUCUCGAGGUGCUGCGGCCCGCGUCCAGUAAGCAAUUUACCGUCUUUGACCUCGGAUCAGGCAGGGAUACCCGCUGAACUUAAGCAUAUCAAUAAGCGGAGGA